AGAGUUUGAUCAUGGCUCAGAAUCAACGCUGGCGGCGCGCCUAACACAUGCAAGUCGAACGAGAGAGUGGAGCAAUCCAUGAGUACAGUGGCGUACGGGUGAGUAACACGUGGGUAAUCUACCUUUUAGUGGGGAAUAACCAGGGGAAACUCUGGCUAAUACCGCAUAAGCCUGAGAAGGGAAAGCAGCAAUGCGCUGAAAGAGGAGCCCGCGGCCGAUUAGCUAGUUGGUGGGGUAAGAGCCCACCAAGGCAGAGAUCGGUAGCCGGCCUGAGAGGGCACACGGCCACACUGGCACUGAAACACGGGCCAGACUCCUACGGGAGGCAGCAGUGGGGAAUCUUGCACAAUGGGGGAAACCCUGAUGCAGCGACGCCGCGUGAGCGAUGAAGCCCUUCGGGGUGUAAAGCUCUUUCGUCAGGGACGAUAAUGACGGUACCUGGAGAAGCAGCUGCGGCUAACUACGUGCCAGCAGCCGCGGUAAUACGUAGGCAGCAAGCGUUGUUCGGAGUUACUGGGCGUAAAGGGUGUGUAGGCGGUUCUUUAAGUUUGGUGUGAAAUCUCCCGGCUCAACUGGGAGGGUGCGCCGAAUACUGAGGGACUAGAGUACGGGAGAGGAAAGUGGAAUUCCUGGUGUAGCGGUGAAAUGCGUAGAUAUCAGGAGGAACACCGGUGGUGUAGACGGCUUUCUGGACCGUAACUGACGCUGAGACACGAAAGCGUGGGUAGCAAACAGGAUUAGAUACCCUAGUAGUCC
RNAcentral lists this ribosomal RNA (756 nucleotides) under uncultured bacterium. RNAcentral describes it as "bacterial SSU rRNA". It matches the Rfam family "Bacterial small subunit ribosomal RNA", at positions 8 to 796 of the family's 1533-position model. The record is from RNAcentral.